AUGCUCUACUAUCGCAGGCGAGCCACGGCAGUUGACCCGAGGCGCCGGUGGCCGGCCGGCUUCGCCAGAUGCCGCAGCAGAGGAAAAAAGGGCGACCGCUUUUCCAAAAGCGAACCCCGGGCUUCACACCCCCAACCCGCACGCCGCGGUCCGCGGCGUACUCUACUCUACCAGUCCACCAUACUCCGUCCCAGGGGCAGCCUGGUAAUUACGCCACCGCGGCGGAGAGAGAAAGGGAGGGGACUGACUGACUAUUUCUUUUACCCUCGCCACGACUGUACACGGGCGGCCAUGGCAGAAGCAGGGGCGAAGUUUCUCCCCCAUUUGGCCGCCGGUCUCCGCCUAUAUAUACCCCGCCCGCACGCGCCUCCUUCCCUGGCCAGACCGAGCUGCUCUUCCUCCUCCAGUCCAGACGUGGCGGUUUGA
This 426-nucleotide ribosomal RNA is filed under the name Triticum aestivum (bread wheat). RNAcentral describes it as "partial small subunit ribosomal RNA". Lineage: Eukaryota; Viridiplantae; Streptophyta; Magnoliopsida; Poales; Poaceae. The record is from RNAcentral.